Molecule: long non-coding RNA, 1911 nt
Filed under: Zea mays
Lineage: Eukaryota; Viridiplantae; Streptophyta; Magnoliopsida; Poales; Poaceae
Description: long non-coding RNA (ZMAY_LNC000640)
Source: RNAcentral
AGUCAUGUUACCCAUCUACCAAGGGGUCAUGAAUCCCAUACGCCUCUACCAAGGAAGCGAGACAGGGUAACACUACGAGGCCUUUACAAAGUUCCAUUAGUUUCAGAAAACCCGCUACAGUUUCUAGGAAGCUCCAAUGCAGGGGCCCCUCGCCUGGCCGCCAUCGCAGCAAAAUCAACCCAAGGGCCUCCCUACACUGACCACUCCUCUACUGCCCUUGCCCCUUUCAGGUAAGGUAGUCCUCCACUAGCUUUCCUAAUUAGUCAGCCAAGGGCGUCCCAUACCACUCUUGUGGUAGCACUGCUUUCCCGGGUGGUCGAUCCAUAUUCCAAUUAACAUAAUGAUCUUAUCAUGAACAGUAAAUAACAAACUGAUAAUAAAAGUGAUCAUGAAUAAUGUGUAUCUCCAUACCCAAAACCACAUAAAGCAAUAGCAAGUACUACCCAAAAAGUUCAGUGGAAUCAAGGUAUAAAGAUAGUCAAACUAGGGUCACCUAAAGGGUCCCAUCAACAUUAACCUAUGCACAUCAUUAUGAUUAAUAAGAACAUGAAUGGGUAAAAAGAAGUGAUCAAGGGCACAACUUGCCUUCAAAGAGCUCCUACUCAGCAGUCUCCACCUACUGAACCCCUGGAUCCUCUAUAACUUGCUCGUCUACUCGCAACAAUACAACAAACAUGGUAUAGCAAAAUUAACAUCACACCAAACAACAGAUCAAAAUGUACGAUAAUAUUCUACGCUGCGUAACAAGAUCGUAGGAACAAGAAUUACUAAAUUUGGAAUUACGGUUAUUUAGUUAUGAAUUUCUAAAGUUAUUUAGCACUUAGAAUAGAUUAAUUCAAGUGAACAGUUUUAUUCCAAGUUACAUGGCUAAACAAUGUUACUAGUUGAUAUAAAAUAUUAAUACAAAAUUAUUGCAACUGGAAUGGGUCAAUUUAGAGCUAAAAUGAAUUAAAUAUGAAUUAUACAAGUUUCUAGAAUUAUUUUUGUAUUAAAAAUCAAUUUCUAUAAUUAAUUUUCUAUUUUCAUUGCUCUCUGGACCGCGCGUCAAAUACUAAAAAGUGCAGGGGCUAACUCGCAAAAGUUCCUAAGACUCAGGUUAACACAUGGAAGGACUGCGGGUUGAUUUUAUAAAAACAGAGGGUCUCUUAAGUAAGUUUGGCACUGCGAAGGGGUACCGACUGUUCUAAGUCGUCCGAUUGCGCGCCAGAGGUCAGGACUAGAUCACCGAGGCAUCACGACCGGUAUACACCCGCAGCCAUCGGAUCGAAUCACGACGACCAUGAUUUUAUUUAGCCCGAACGGUGCACAUGCCUGAUCCGAGCCGUCUAUUUACACUUCGAUGAUCAAGAUUCUAAUGAAUCCAAGGGAUAUGCCUUAACCUAAUCACCACCGUUGAUUCAUAACCAACGACCCUAGAUCAAACUCGAGGCGAAUGAUCAACCUCGGAUCAGGACCGUUCGCUGGAGUAUCAACGAUACUCCAACCGUCCCUGACCUCCCACAUGGAGCAUGAUGGCGCAAAUUCCCCACCCCGCCAACGGACACACCGGAGACACGAAUUGGCCCCUGGAUCGACCCAACUUUCACGUCCACCGAUAACAACCCCCAUGGAGGUAAGUGCAAAAUAGAUGUAUGGCAGAUUUACCGUAUCCCAGGAAGGUGGUGCUCCAAUUCCUGUGAUGUGGCGGUCCCAUGGUGCCUCUGGGUCGCCGACGAGCAAUCACAACGCUACUCCUACGAUCACCCCGAGGAAAGCAAUGGGAACCUUCCCACACAACACAGCCAAUCACCCGGACACGCAACCCGAGACACGACGCCGGCAUAAGGCCUUCCCUCUCCCCAGCCCGCGGCAAAUCUUGAUGUGCAGUAAUGACUACCGGUUCUUGGGUCCGGAAUGGUGGUUGAGGAAGAA